GUUCCUUCGAGGGCAUCCGCUAAAAUUGAAAUGAUAUAGAGAAGAUUAGCAUUACCAAUGCGUAAAGAUGGCACAUUCGAAUUGAGAAAUGUGACAUUAU
This is a small nuclear RNA of Solanum pennellii, 100 nucleotides long. Lineage: Eukaryota; Viridiplantae; Streptophyta; Magnoliopsida; Solanales; Solanaceae. The record is from RefSeq and is a predicted model, not a curated record.